This 253-nucleotide ribosomal RNA is filed under the name uncultured bacterium. Its description in RNAcentral is "partial 16S ribosomal RNA". It matches the Rfam family "Bacterial small subunit ribosomal RNA", at positions 524 to 776 of the family's 1533-position model. The record is from RNAcentral.
CACGUAGGGCGCAAGCGUUGUCCGGAAUUAUUGGGCGUAAAGAGCUCGUAGGUGGUCUGCUACGUCUGCUGUGAAAAUCCAGGGCUUAACCCUGGACUUGCAGUGGAUACGGGCAGACUAGAGGUAGGUAGGGGAGAAUGGAAUUCCCGGUGUAGCGGUGAAAUGCGCAGAUAUCGGGAGGAACACCGGUGGCGAAGGCGGUUCUCUGGGCCUUACCUGACACUGAGGAGCGAAAGCGUGGGGAGCGAACAGG